AGCCCCUGGGUAGUCCCUCUGGCAUUUUCAUCUUGUCCCCAAAAGGGUCCUCUUUGUUCACUUCUAUUGCACCUAUUUUACUCUCACUCUCUAUCCUCAACCCCUCCUUUCUCUGUAAAUUACAUCCAGUUUUCAUGCAAUGCUUCGUCGCAACCCCCCCCCCCCCAGUAGUAUGAAGUUGCAGGUACAUGAUACAUGCUGAUUUAAGGUCCGUUUUGCGUCCCCACCACUUUAUGGUUACAGUUAGGAUAUAUCCACCACUUCAUGGUUACAGUUAGGAUAUAUCCACCACUUCAUGGUUACAGGUAGGAUAUAUCCACCACUUCAUGGUUACAGUUAGGAUAUAUCCACCACUUCAUGGUUACAGUUAGGAUAUAUCCACCACUUCAUGGUUACAGUUAGGAUAUAUCCACCACUUCAUGGUUACAGGUAGGAUAUAUCCACCACUUCAUGGUUAUAGUUAGGAUAUAUCCACCACUUCAUGGUUAUAGUUAGGAUAUAUCCACCACUUCAUGGUUACAGGUAGGAUAUAUCCACCACUUCAUGGUUACAGUUAGGAUAUAUCCACCACUUCAUGGUUACAGGUAGGAUAUAUCCACCACUUCAUGGUUACAGGUAGGAUAUAUCCACCACUUCAUGGUUAUAGUUAGGAUAUAUCCACCACUUCAUGGUUACAGGUAGGAUAUAUCCACCACUUCAUGGUUACAGGUAGGAUAUAUCCACCACUUCAUGGUUACAGGUAGGAUAUAUCCACCACUUCAUGGUUACAGGUAGGAUAUAUCCACCACUUCAUGGUUACAGGUAGGAUAUAUCCACCACUUCAUGGUUACAGUUAGGAUAUAUCCACCACUUCAUGGUUACAGUUAGGAUAUAUCCACCACUUCAUGGUUACAGUUAGGAUAUAUCCACCACUUCAUGGUUACAGUUAGGAUAUAUCCACCACUUCAUGGUUACAGGUAGGAUAUAUCCACCACUUCAUGGUUACAGUUAGGAUAUAUCCACCACUUCAUGGUUACAGUUAGGAUAUAUCCACCACUUCAUUGGUUACAGUUAGGAUAUAUCCACCACUUCAUGGUUAUAGUUAGGAUAUAUCCACCACUUCAUGGUUACAGUUAGGAUAUAUCCACCACUUCAUUGGUUACAGUUAGGAUAUAUCCACCACUUCAUGGUUAUAGUUAGGAUAUAUCCACCACUUCAUGGUUACAGGUAGGAUAUAUCCACCACUUCAUGGUUACAGUUAGGAUAUAUCCACCACUUCAUGGUUACAGUUAGGAUAUAUCCACCACUUCAUGGUUACAGUUAGGAUAUAUCCACCACUUCAUGCAGUGUUUCCCAAACUCGGUCCUGUGGCCCCCACUGGGUACACGUUUUGUUUAUUACUCCUAACACUACACAGCUGAUUCAAAUGAUCAAAGCUUGGUGAUUAGUUGAUUAUUUGAAUCAGCUGUGUUGUGCUAGGAGGAAAAAAAAGAAGAAAAAAAACGUGGACUGAGUUUGGGAAACGCUGACCUAAUGGUUAAGGUUAGAACUAAAGGAGAGUAAGCUGAUCCUAGAUCUGUGCCUGUGGACUACUUAUAGUGAAGCAGCUACUGCAGAACUGUGCCAGCUCUCUCCACAACCCCAGUGGAACAUUUGUGAAUAAUAUUUUUUUACAGGCAAUAUCUUGUGCUGGUCUUCCUGCCAUGACCUGCCACAGUUAGAAGUGGACGUGUCUGA
Molecule: long non-coding RNA, 1716 nt
Organism: Oncorhynchus keta (chum salmon)
Lineage: Eukaryota; Metazoa; Chordata; Actinopteri; Salmoniformes; Salmonidae
Exons: 5
Source: RefSeq, a predicted model, not a curated record